GCUUCACUGAGGCCAACAUGGCUGUUAGGCCUGCUGGUAGGGUGCCGGGUCCUCCUUGGUGGAUAUCGCAGUUUUAUUUUCCCAGCAACUUGCCCUCCUUCUGCUGUAGCUGAGUCUUGCGCGGAAGGUUCGUGGAGGCCCAGUCCCACGCGAAGGACUGGUUUCUCUGUGCCAGGCCCAGCCAGCAUGAAGUUUGGAACCGGGACCUCUGUCGGAAGGAGCUGGCCAUGGCUGGACAGCGGUUUGGUCUCCUUCCCCUCCGCCUUUGGACAGCUUGGGGAGGUGAGGAGUUGCAGUGUCAAGCAAGUGGCUGGAUGGUUUUCAGAAAUGGUAUUGUGAUGCUGCAGGAUUCAAUAAAUAUCAAAUUGGUUAAUGUGAGACGGCACACCAUAGGAGACUGAAGAUGUGAAAGAAGUCAUAGGAAGGCUUCCUGAGGAGCUCACAGUAAGACCAUGAGGCAUCAGGUCAUCCCUGCGGAGCUGAGGACAAACUAUGAGGCAGCAGAGCAGGACAAAUUCUACCCUAAGCCCUAACUGAAAGGAAGGAGAGAGAAUGGGCAAAAAGAGAUCUGUGGUGGAGACCUGUGGAGCUGCCGCAUCUCAGUGCAUGUCUAUGAAGCUGGGUCAACCCGAGUCACAGUUUAAGAAUUAUUUGUCUACAGAUGCCUCACUUUAAAUAAAUGUUGAUUGUAACCAUG
Grammomys surdaster is the source of this 697-nucleotide long non-coding RNA. RefSeq lists it as uncharacterized. The record is from RefSeq and is a predicted model, not a curated record. The transcript is spliced from 4 exons. Lineage: Eukaryota; Metazoa; Chordata; Mammalia; Rodentia; Muridae.